This 1304-nucleotide ribosomal RNA is filed under the name Myrmeleon immanis. Its description in RNAcentral is "16S ribosomal RNA". The stretch from base 875 to 1231 matches the Rfam family "Archaeal large subunit ribosomal RNA", at positions 2155 to 2712 of the family's 2987-position model. The record is from RNAcentral. Lineage: Eukaryota; Metazoa; Arthropoda; Insecta; Neuroptera; Myrmeleontidae.
UUAAGAGUUUAUUACUUAUUUUUUUAGAUUAUAUUUUUUAUAAUUAAAAUAUAUUUAUUAUUAUUUGUUUUUGUAAUUUUUUGAUUAAAUAAUAUUAGUUAUAGUAAAUUAGUACAUUAAUGGAAAUUUGAAAUAUUAUUUAUUAAUUUAAAAGUAAAUUUAUUUUAUUGUACCUUUUGUAUCAGGGUUGAUUAAAAAUAAAAUAUUAAUGAAUAUUUAUCUCGAAUUUAAAAGAGCUAAACUAUUAUGAGGUUUUUUGUGGCAAAAAGAUUUUAAAUAAUAAUUUAGUAAUUAGACGUUAGUCGUUUUUAAAUGUAUCUAGUUUUUCAAGAAUUGAAUUUAAUUUAUUUAUUUACAUUUCAUUAUUUUAAUUAUUUAGUUUAUUGAAUUGUAGAUAAAAAAAAUUUUAGGGAUAAGCUUAAAAUUUUUUUAUAAGAUUAAUUUUUGUAGUAAAUAAAUAGGAUUAGAAAUUUCCAUUUUUAUUUAAAGUGUUAUAAUUAAUUUACUUAUAUACAAGAUUUUUUUUUCUUUAAAAUAUUUAUUGAAAUAUUGAUAUUAACAAUUUUAUUUAGAAAUAAUGAUUAAAUUAGUAUUAUUUUAUUUAUGAAUAAAACAUAAAUUAAGAUGAAGAUAAGGAAUUCAGCAAAAAUUGUAUUCGCCUGUUUAUCAAAAACAUGUCUUUUUGAUUAUAAUAUAAAGUCUGGCCUGCCCACUGAAUUUUGAAGGGCCGCAGUAUUUUGACUGUGCAAAGGUAGCAUAAUCAUUUGCCUUUUAAUUAGAGGCUUGUAUGAAUGGUUGAACGAAAUACAAACUGUCUCAUUUUUAAAAUUUUAAUAAUUUAGCUUUCUAGUUAAAAGGCUUGAAUAUUAUUGGAGGACGAGAAGACCCUAUAGAACUUUAUAUAUUUUUAUUUAUAUUUAUAUAGUAAAAUAUUUUUUUAUAAAUAAUAUUAUAUUUUGUUGGGGUGACAGGGAAAUUAAUAUAACUUUCUUAAAUUUUAAACAUUGAUUUAUGAUUAUUUGAUCCAUUAUUAUUGAUUAUUAGAAUAAGUUACCUUAGGGAUAACAGCGUAAUUUUGUUGGAGAGUUCAUAUCUAUAACAAAGUUUGCGACCUCGAUGUUGAAUUAAAGAAAUUUUAGAGUGCAGAAGCUUUAAGUAAUAGGUCUGUUCGACCUUUAAAUCUUUACAUGAUUUGAGUUCAGACCGGCGUGAGCCAGGUCGGUUUCUAUCCUUAAUUAUUAAUCCAUUAUUUAGUACGAAAGGACCAAUUAUGGGAAAAAUUUUUUUUCUAUUGAAUAAAAUUA